This 344-nucleotide ribosomal RNA is filed under the name Heterotermes paradoxus. RNAcentral describes it as "partial 16S ribosomal RNA". The record is from RNAcentral. Lineage: Eukaryota; Metazoa; Arthropoda; Insecta; Blattodea; Rhinotermitidae.
UGAAGGGCCGCGGUAUUUUGACCGUGCAAAGGUAGCAUAAUCAUUAGUUCUUUAAUUGUGAUCUGGAAUGAAUGGCUUGACGAGACACGAGCUGUCUUAAGUUUGAAUAUUUUAUUGAAUUUGGUUUUUGAGUUAAAAUUCUUAAAUGUUUUUAUGGGACGAGAAGACCCUGUAGAGUUUGACAUAUUAGUUUAUUUAUUUAUUUGUUUGUUUCAUUUUUGGUAAGUGGGCUUUUUGUUUUGUUGGGGUGAUGAGAGGAAUAUAUUUUAACUCCUCUUGGUUUUUGGUUAUAUUGAUUUGUAUUUAUUUGAUCCAUUUAUUUUGAUUAUCAAAUUAAAUUACCU